GACGAACGCUGGCGGCGUGCUUAACACAUGCAAGUCGAACGGAAAGGCCCUGCUUUUGUGGGGUGCUCGAGUGGCGAACGGGUGAGUAACACGUGAGUAACCUGCCCUUGACUUUGGGAUAACUUCAGGAAACUGGGGCUAAUACCGGAUAGGAGCUCCUGCUGCAUGGUGGGGGUUGGAAAGUUUCGGCGGGUGGGGAUGGACUCGCGGCUUAUCAGCUUGUUGGUGGGGUAGUGGCUUACCAAGGCUGUGACGGGUAGCCGGCCUGAGAGGGUGACCGGCCACCAUGGGACUGAGAUACGGACCAGACUCCUACGGGAGGCAGCAGUGGGGAAUAUUGCACAAUGGGCGGAAGCCUGAUGCAGCAACGCCGCGUGCGGGAUGACGGCCUUCGGGUUGUAAACCGCUUUCGCCUGUGACGAAGCGUGAGUGACGGUAAUGGGUAAAGAAGCACCGGCUAACUACGUG
This 468-nucleotide ribosomal RNA is filed under the name uncultured bacterium. RNAcentral describes it as "partial 16S ribosomal RNA". It matches the Rfam family "Bacterial small subunit ribosomal RNA", at positions 28 to 507 of the family's 1533-position model. The record is from RNAcentral.